Molecule: non-coding RNA, 157 nt
Filed under: Paenibacillus bovis
Lineage: Bacteria; Bacillati; Bacillota; Bacilli; Caryophanales; Paenibacillaceae
Description: SAM-I sequence
Rfam family: SAM riboswitch aptamer (S box leader)
About the family: The SAM riboswitch is found upstream of a number of genes which code for proteins involved in methionine or cysteine biosynthesis in Gram-positive bacteria.
Source: Rfam by way of RNAcentral
UUCUUAUCGAGAGUGGUGGAGGGACUGGCCCGAUGAAACCCGGCAGCCGAUUUGGAAAAUGACCGUUAAGGUCUUUUUUUCCAAAUGACAUGGUGCUAAAUCCUUCAAAAUGGCAGAUGCAUAAUGUAUAGCAUCCUGCGAUUUUGGCAGAUGAGAA